GGAGUCUGGGCCGUGUCUCAGUCCCAAUGUGGCCGUUCAACCUCUCAGUCCGGCUACUGAUCGUCGACUUGGUGAGCCGUUACCUCACCAACUAUCUAAUCAGACGCGAGCUCAUCUUUCAGCGAUAAAUCUUUGAUAACAAAGCCAUGCGGCUUCGUUAUGUCAUAGGGUAUUACCAUCCGUUUCCAGAAGCUAUCCCCCUCUCAGAGGCAGGUUGCUCACGUGUUACUCACCCGUCCGCCACUAAGAUACCUCAGUAAACCAAAAUAUCUCCGUUCGACUUGCAUGUGUUAAGCGUGCCGCCAGCGUUCGUCCUCGUAGCCACUGAUCAAACUACU
Molecule: ribosomal RNA, 338 nt
Filed under: Ruminococcus flavefaciens
Lineage: Bacteria; Bacillati; Bacillota; Clostridia; Eubacteriales; Oscillospiraceae
Description: partial 16S ribosomal RNA
Source: RNAcentral